RNAcentral lists this ribosomal RNA (467 nucleotides) under uncultured delta proteobacterium. Its description in RNAcentral is "bacterial SSU rRNA". It matches the Rfam family "Bacterial small subunit ribosomal RNA", at positions 35 to 475 of the family's 1533-position model. The record is from RNAcentral. Lineage: Bacteria; Deltaproteobacteria.
GCUGGCGGCGUGCUUAACACAUGCAAGUCGCACGAGAACGUUUAGCUUGCUGAAACUAGUAAAGUGGCGCACGGGUGAGUAACGCGUGGGUAAUCUACCUCCGAAUUGGGGAUAACAUUGCGAAAGCGAUGCUAAUACCGAAUGACAUCUCAAUAACCUCGGUCUUUGAGAUCAAAGGUGGCCUCUCCAUGGAAGCUACUGUUUGGAGAUGAGCCCGCGUACCAUUAGCUUGUUGGUAGGGUAAUGGCCUACCAAGGCGACGAUGGUUAGCUGGUCUGAGAGGAUGAUCAGCCACACUGGAACUGACACACGGUCCAGACUCCUACGGGAGGCAGCAGUGAGGAAUUUUGCGCAAUGGGGGAAACCCUGACGCAGCAACGCCGCGUGAGUGAUGAAGGCUUUCGGGUCGUAAAGCUCUGUCAAGUGAGAAGAAACUGCCCUUUGCUAAUAUCAUUGGGCACUGACGG